UCCUGCCGGAAUCUGACGCUCUCCCCAAGGACACAAGCCAUGCAUGCCCGCGCACCCGGGAGGCGGCGGACGGCUCAGGACAACGGUUGCACCCCCCGCGGCGGUCCCUGCUAGCCGGACACCGCUGGCAACCCGGCGCCAAGACGUGCGCGCAAGGGCGGGCGCCCGCGGGCGAGCAGCGUGACGCAGCGACGGCCCGCCCGGGCUUCCGGGGCAUCACCCGGUCGGCGCGGUCGCGGCGCGCCGAGGGCCCGACGCCUGGCGGAGAAUC
RNAcentral lists this ribosomal RNA (271 nucleotides) under Giardia duodenalis. RNAcentral's name for it is "Giardia intestinalis partial small subunit ribosomal RNA". The record is from RNAcentral. Lineage: Eukaryota; Fornicata; Diplomonadida; Hexamitidae.